AAUGAACGCUGGCGGCAUGCCUAACACAUGCAAGUCGAACGAAGGCUCCGGCCUUAGUGGCGCACGGGGGUGUAACGCGUGGGAAUCUGCCCCUUUGUACGGAAUACCAGUUAGAAAUGACUGCUAAUACCGGAUGAUGACUUAAGUCCAAGGAUUUAUCGCGGAGGGAUGAGCCCGAGUAGGAUUAGCUAGUUGGUGUGGUAAGAGCGCACCAAGGCGUCGAUCCUUAGCUGGUCUGAGAGGAUGAUCAGCCACACUGGGGCUAAGACACGGCCCAGACUCCUACGGAAGGGAGGAGAGGGGAAUAUAGGACAAUGGGGGGAGGCCUGAUCCAGCAAUGCCGCGUAAGUGAUGAAGUCGUUAGGGAAGUGAAGCUCUUUUACCCGGGAUGAUAAUGACGGUACCGGGAGAAUAAGCUCCGGCUAACUCCGUG
This 433-nucleotide ribosomal RNA is filed under the name uncultured bacterium. Its description in RNAcentral is "partial 16S ribosomal RNA". It matches the Rfam family "Bacterial small subunit ribosomal RNA", at positions 29 to 507 of the family's 1533-position model. The record is from RNAcentral.